AGCGGAUCGGAAGAACAUCGUGUUCGCGUAGGCGAGCGACGGGCAGACCACUGCCGCGAUGUCGGCCGAGUAUGAAGGCCGCAACUGCGCUUCAUUGGACAGAACCAGCGGUUCCAACCCUGGAUGCGUGUUUGAUGAGGACGGUGGCGCUGCGGUGGAGAGAUGAAGCGGCGGGAGUUUGGGAGGCCGAGAGGGCGGCGCCGACGGUGGUGGCUUUGAGGGGUUGAAGAGAGAGAAGAGAUUGGCUAAGGCUGAGGUCGCCAUGGCUGAAAUUUGGGGCUCCUAAUUUUGGAUAGGAAUUAAUAGAAUUUAAAAUACGAAAAAUAUUUAAGAACUAUUUGUGGUUGGGCUAUUCAUGUUGAAAUAGGAUUAUUUUGCCAGUGGCCCAAAUGAGCAUGGGAUCCACUAGUAGCCUUUAAAAUAUCAGCAAUCUUAGAAAUUGGGUUCGGGCUCUCGCUCCCUUUCUCCAACGGCUGAUUGUAUUCAUAGUCCCCGUUUUACUCUUUAUAGCCCCUAUUUAAAAUAAAAAUUAAAAAUAAUUAUAAAUAUAUUAUUUUGCCCUAUACUUCAUAGCUCCCUAUUUGAUUCACGUAACUAUUUUUUUGUACUCGAGACUUAGAAUAGGACAACAUAGCAAUCACUUUGCUAACCAAAGCUUUCUCUGGUUUCCUUUUACCAAACAUAUGUGAGCAGUGAAAACAUAUAAUUAUGGGUUAUUGUUUAAUUUUAACUUUGUAUCAGUGUUGAUUAAGACCAACGAGGGAAAGGGAAAUAGAAGAUGAUAUAUGAAGAUUUGAAGGUUGGGAAGAAGAUGACGAUGGAGAUGAUAUGAAGAAGAAGGUAUUAUAUGUAAAUAUGUGAAUGGGGGUUUCUUUGUCUAAUUGAAUUGCAAUAUGUUGCCAUAAAAGCUUCACUCAUGGGUAGAGUUUUAAAUCACAGGAAGAGAAAGAAAGUUGUAGAGUAUUUUGAGAGAUGUAGACGAAUGUGAAUAUCUUUUUCUUUGUUUAUUUUAGUAGAGGUAUUGUGGUUUCAUAUAUAAUAUUAUGUUUGUAUUGUUUGCGCAGAGAGGAGAGAUGAAGAAGAUGAUGGUAGGCGGUAGGCGCAGGACCGAUAUGUAUAUGUUAAAGAGUAGUGAGUUAGUGGGGGCUAGAAUGUAGGAUGUUGUUGCGCUCAAGCUAAGAGAACAUAUAUCCAAAUAUUUUUCUUUAGGGGCGUGCAUUGGUGCGGUUCGGUGCAAAAUCACAUCGAUUUUUUAAAUUAAAAAUUGAAUCGACCCCAAAUGGAAAAAUUGAAUUGCACCAGCUAGGGUCCACAAUUAAACCAACGAGACCGUCGAGUGUCGAUUUCGGUCUGUUGAACUGAACUGCACGAUAUUUUCAUUUUUUUUUUUUGAAUUUGUUGUUGUCUAACGGAGAACGCCGGAAGGGAAUGCCGACUGGUUGUUGCUGUCAAUGGGAGACGCUAGAAGGAGAAGGCCGAAUGCUAGUCUGUUGUCGCACGGGAAAAGCCAAAAANAUUAUAUAUAAAAUAAUAUAUAAUGUUAUAUAUUUUAUUCUAACUCUAAUCUAAUAUCUAUGACUAAUCUAUAUAUCUCUUUCUAUAAAUAAUAUAUAAUGCAUUAAGAUAAUAUUUACUUUAUUUAAUUUAAAUUUAGUUUCUAUUAUUAUUAUUAUUAUUAUUAUUAUUAUUAUUAUUAUUAUUAUUAUUAUUAUUAUUAUUAUAUUAUUAUUAUUAUUAUUAUUAUUAUCAUUAGUACUAUUAUUAUAGAGUAUUAAUCGUCAUAAUAAAUAAAUUAAUAUAUUCAUACACAAAUAUAAAUAAAAAGUUGUAAAAUAUAAGAACAAAUUAAUAAUGUUUCUAUUAUCAUUUAAGCUUGAUUUUAUAAUUAAAUUUUCACAUUAAAUUAUUAAUUUCAUGAAUUAAUUAAUUUUUAAGAAAAUAAUUGCAAAGAACUGGUAAGCAAAUAUGCAAAAAUCUCAAUCUACCCAGCAAUAAAUAAGACACCUUUAUUAUAAUGUGAAAUUAACUAAGAAAUCCCAUUAAAUUAAUUCACAAAUACUCCAUAUAGACAAGAUUAUAAUUUCCAAACUCACAAUAAGUUUUCAUUACGGUCUCAAAAAAAAAAAAGUUUUCAAUACAAACAUUUCCUUUUAUUUUUCAAUUUUAAAUCCAAACGCAAUCCAACGGUAGAGUUCAGACACCAGCUGCAUAUAAUUAAAGCAAGUGAUCAUAAUAUUAUUAUUAACAACUAGUUUACUGCAUACAUUUGUCAAUCAUUCAAUCUGGUAAAUCAUUUUACAGAAAUCCAGUUUCAUCCAUCUGAUCAAUGGUAAAAAUUAUUCGGAUGAAUACAGAACCCACCUCAUCCGAACCAGUGAAUUCAUAUAAAAUCUCCCAUUGCCAAAAUUCGCUCAAGAAACUGCGACUACAUUAGAAAGAAACCUCACAGACCUCGAAAAAUCACAUUUCACAGCAGCAAUUUGAAAGAGGCGAAAAAGACUAACAGAGCAGCAUUUAACCAGAAGAUAGUGGAGAAGUACAAGAUGUGGUCACUUGGGAAGGAUUCCUUCAGGAAUAUCCCAGUUAUCAUCAUCUUCUUCCUUCUUGCUCUUCGAAAUCUCUGGCUUAUCUUGUGUUGUGAAUCUUGCUUGAGGUCGUCUGUAGAUAUUCAUAAAAAGAAUAGGAUUGAGGAACACUGAUUAAAAAUUUCUGAAAAAUCAUCAUCUCUGUAAUGAAUUUAUCUUCACAUCCACAAAAUUUGAACAGUACAGUCAUCAAUCAUCAUGGAAGGUUUGUAAAACAGUUAUCAUGUAACAGAUGUAAGAUUACCGAAGACAAGCUCACUGUACCACAGAAUGCGCUGAUGAAUAAAAAACCACAUUAAUCUACUCAACUUAUGAAAAUCUUCAAGGAAUUCCAACAAAUAUGCAUCUAUAUUCUAUAGACAUGCCAAUUUGAGAUAAAGCUUAUCAAAGUUUAAACCCUCAAAACUCCAAACAUGCAAUCUCUAAAGACUCUACUUGUAAGAAUUAUGAAGUUCUAAGCUUUGAGCAACAGGAAAGCCAUUGACAAUACUAUGAUGUCUUUCUUGCAUGAGGUCAUCUAUUUAGAUUAUCAGUAAAAGAACUUGACCAAGGAAUGUGGUCGAAAGACUUUAUGAAAAUCUAUACUGAAUGAUCUUCAAACACACUGGAAACUUGAGCAUUGCUGUCAUCAUGCAUGAAAAACCUAGCAGGCUCACUUGUGGGCACAUAAUCGAGUACUGAACAUAAAACUACAUCAAUGUUAUCAAACUGAUGAAAAUGAAAACUGAGAACAUGCAUCUAAAGGCAUGCCAAUUUGAACAUAUUGAAGUUUAAGACUUCAAACUCCUAAUUUGGCAUCUCAAAAGACUCAGCUAAUAUGAUUCCAAGCUUUGAGUUGACAGGAGGCUGUUGACAAUUACCAACCUCUCGGUACAAGUGAACAACAAAUACAGCUAAUACUUAUAAUUUCUAAACCCAUUGUGCCUUACUGUGCACAAAUUAGCAAAGCCCCAGGGUGAUAUGUAAAUUGGACUACAUCAGACACAAUUCAACCAGCAAAAGGUUGGGUACUUGAACAAAGAUUCAUACCCUAUCUCAAGAAAUUUCUUGCUUGAAGCCACAAACUUGUAAGCAAAACCACAGAGAACCCAAUCUCCAAGGUAAGACACACUUAAUUUCCCCACAUAAUCGAAUAAUAUCAAUACAUUAUUUGGAUGAUCAGUAAAAAAUUUCUCUUAAAACCACGAAAUUCUCAGUGUCCAAAGAAGCAUGCACCUAAUCUCCCAUAUCAACACCUUAUUUGGAUAAUCAAUCAAAAUCUCUCUCUCUCAAACGCAUGACUUCCUAGCACCCAAUUUACUCAACUACAUACGUUAUACAUACAAACAUGGUGAAGAAAAACAGCAUAUACCACUUAAUUCUUACAUGCAUAUCUGAUCUCAAUUUUGUUUAAUGUUACUCGAGCAUCAACUACAAGUGCAUCUACGUAUUCACAAGUUAUCGAGUUAGCUAAUAAAAAUUCACUAAUGAAGUCAAUUAUCAUUGAUUUUCCUUCAAAUUCAAAAAUACUAAAUCGAUCCUCAUCCACCACUCACGAAUUCGAGCAACAUAAGAUAGUAAGAAACAGAGCAAAAUGCAGAGCGCCAAUAGUAAUCAUAGCGAGAGAUAGAGACCUGCGACGGUUGCGCUUCGCAGCCUCCCGCGUCUUCCGCUUCUUCUCGUCCUGCUUGUUCUCAAAAAACCGGCGGCGCUUGCAUUCCUGGAUGACUCCGGCGCGCAUCACUUCCCUCCUGAAGCGGCCGAGCAGCUUCUCCUCCGGUUCGUUGUCGUCCACGAUUACCUGAACAUUGUAAGCGGAUCGGAAGAACAUCGUGUUCGCGUAGGCGAGCGACGGGCAGACCACUGCCGCGAUGUCGGCCGAGUAUGAAGGCCGCAACUGCGCUUCAUUGGACAGAACCAGCGGUUCCAACCCUGGAUGCGUGUUUGAUGAGGACGGUGGCGCUGCGGUGGAGAGAUGAAGCGGCGGGAGUUUGGGAGGCCGAGAGGGCGGCGCCGACGGUGGUGGCUUUGAGGGGUUGAAGAGAGAGAAGAGAUUGGCUAAGGCUGAGGUCGCCAUGGCUGAAAUUUGGGGCUCCUAAUUUUGGAUAAGGAAUUAAUAGAAUUUUAAAAAUACGAAAAAAA
Molecule: long non-coding RNA, 4706 nt
Filed under: Salvia miltiorrhiza (redroot sage)
Lineage: Eukaryota; Viridiplantae; Streptophyta; Magnoliopsida; Lamiales; Lamiaceae
Description: long non-coding RNA (SMIL_LNC006241)
Source: RNAcentral